This 465-nucleotide ribosomal RNA is filed under the name uncultured Klebsiella sp. Its description in RNAcentral is "bacterial SSU rRNA". It matches the Rfam family "Bacterial small subunit ribosomal RNA", at positions 338 to 795 of the family's 1533-position model. The record is from RNAcentral. Lineage: Bacteria; Pseudomonadati; Pseudomonadota; Gammaproteobacteria; Enterobacterales; Enterobacteriaceae.
CCUACGGGAGGCUGCAGUGGGGAAUAUUGCACAAUGGGCGCAAGCCUGAUGCAGCCAUGCCGCGUGUGUGAAGAAGGCCUUCGGGUUGUAAAGCACUUUCAGCGGGGAGGAAGGCGUUAAGGUUAAUAACCUUGGCGAUUGACGUUACCCGCAGAAGAAGCACCGGCUAACUCCGUGCCAGCAGCCGCGGUAAUACGGAGGGUGCAAGCGUUAAUCGGAAUUACUGGGCGUAAAGCGCACGCAGGCGGUCUGUCAAGUCGGAUGUAAAAUCCCCGGGCUCAACCUGGGAACUGCAUUCGAAACUGGCAGGCUAGAGUCUUGUAGAGGGGGGUAGAAUUCCAGGUGUAGCGGUGAAAUGCGCAGAGAUCUGGAGGAAUACCGGUGGCGAAGGCGGCCCCCUGGACAAAGACUGACGCUCAGGUGCGAAAGCGUGGGGAGCAAACAGGAUUAGAUACCCCUGUAGUC